Molecule: long non-coding RNA, 491 nt
Organism: Musa acuminata subsp. malaccensis (wild Malaysian banana)
Lineage: Eukaryota; Viridiplantae; Streptophyta; Magnoliopsida; Zingiberales; Musaceae
Source: RefSeq, a predicted model, not a curated record
GGGGCAGCUAAUGAGGAUUAUAAGACAUCAAGUUCUUCCCUAUGUAUGGGUAGGAGGAACUCUUCUGUUUUUCUUCAGAGUUUGCAGAACUCGAUACUCAAAUUGCGACAUUUCAGGGUGAAACCUUGACGGAUGUUGUGCCAUGCCCUAGUGUUGGAGGUUCGGAUCAUGGGGAUGCUUAUCAUGUUAGUGCUGUCUCAGCACCUAAUCUACGGCGGCUGGCAAUUUUGGCAUGUUAAAACUUCAUUGAGGUAACUUUUGAAGCCUUACAAAGUUUUAUGCCUAUGGUCUGAUCACAGCAAGGACUAUAACCGCGAUGAUUAUGAGAAGGAUGAUUGUUGCUAUACACAUACAUUUGCGGGAGUUCUUCUGUAAUAUCUUUGCCUUGCUUAGAGCAUUAACUCCAGAGCUAACAAAGACACCAGCACGGUUAACCUGCACAAAAGACAUUGUAAUUGCACUGUUAUAAUUUCAUAAUCACUUGUAGAGAA